Phyllopteryx taeniolatus (common seadragon) is the source of this 5532-nucleotide long non-coding RNA. RefSeq lists it as uncharacterized. The record is from RefSeq and is a predicted model, not a curated record. The transcript is spliced from 3 exons. NCBI's taxonomy places the organism in Eukaryota, Metazoa, Chordata, Actinopteri, Syngnathiformes, Syngnathidae.
AUUAUGCAUUGAAACGAUUAUAUACGAAUUCCAGUGUUAUAUGCGACUUUCGGUAGAUUCAAGUAUAGGCCCCCUCCAUGAAAUUUCAAAUAAUACAUCCACAAAUUACUGAAACGUGCACUUGUUAUGUAUAUGUAUAUAUGAUAAAAUGGUAAAUGCUAAAUGUUAUUUAAAAUAUCAAAUAUCUCUUGAGCACCCCCUGAAACGGCUUUUUUCUAACCUCAUCUGUCAGCCUAUCCAUCACCACAUUACGUACGUUUACAAUAUGACUCUAUAUAGUGCUGUAUGCAAAAUUUUGUUUCAAUACAUCAAUUUUCCAUUAUACUUGUCGUUCUAGUACUUUUUGAUAUUUUUCAUUUUCUUUUUUUACCACAAGUGCUAAACAAAAUAUUUGUUUUGUUAUGCAAAAUGCAUUGCUAUUGUGACCAAUAGAGAUUAUUUCUACAGUUUUAGGAUCUGGUCCUUGUGUUGUCCUCCCAUUGUGUUUAAUGACUCUUCAGUGGUGUGUUUUUUUUGUACGUUUGACAUUCAGUGUGUGCGUGUGUGCAUGCGUGCGUGUGUGUGUGAGCGAGAGAGAGAGAGAGAGACAUGAAAGUAUAUAUUUUCUUUCGUGCCUCUCUGUCUGACUCCCAAUCACUCCCAACAUCUCAUCGUAUUUAUCACUUUCUUACAUUUAUCUAUUACCUUCUGAACAGGUGUUGCCAACCUUAAUCUAUCGUCAAGUCAGAAAUUUUAAUUAAAUUGAAAUUCUAUAAUUUUAACUUUAAUCUACCAUCAUUUUUUUCCAGAGUAAAAAUGUUGUCUUUGGUUUCUUAACGCAAAAUUUAAAUCCCCAUUUGUAUGAACAGUCCUCUACUUUUUUAAAUAGCUUCAGGUAUUUUCCUUACAAUAAACUCCAGAUUCUUUCCUCUUUUCCAAAUUGCUCCAUCAUCAGCAAAGAGUGAUGCACUCAUCUCAUUCCCUUUUCCCCAAAACACAUCAUUUAUCAUUCAUGAAAAUAGCAGAGGACUAAUAAUACUUCCUUGCGGUGUUCCAUUAUCUAUAAUAUAGUUACUUGAAUAUUUCUUUCCGAUUCUAACGAUUCUAAAAAAAAAAUCCUUAGUCCAUCUAUAAUUUUCCCCUCUAAUCCCAUAUCCAUAAUCUCUUUUAAUUCCAUUUAUUCUUAUAACUUUCUACAUUUUAUCAGUAUUAGUUUCCCUUCCCACUGUGUGACAAAAAGAUUUACGCUAGUCUCUUUUUGCAUCCUUUAUAGUUCUUCUUAACGGCACUUGUUUACAUUAGUAUUCAAUUCAUUUCUGAUAGCUAUGAUUUCUUUUUAUUUCUUAAAUUUAAAGGCUUUAUUCCUAUUGCACUUUUACAUUCUUUUGUCCACUAGGGUACAAUUUUCCUUUUGUGCUCACCUCCCUUCUUCUGAAUGGACAACAACACUGCUUCUAGAAUACGUAGACUUACACUUUGAUUUAAAUGCUCAACAUUCAUUUUUAUUGAUUCAUAUCCAUUGUUUGCAGCGGCACGGUGGCCGACUGGUUAGAGCGUCAGCCUCACAGUUCUGAGGACCCGGGUUCAAUCCCCGGCCCCUCCUGUGUGGAGUUUGCAUGUUCUCCCCGUGCCUGCGUGGGUUUUCUCCGGGUACUCCGGUUUCCUCCCACAUCCCAAAAAACAUGCAUGAAUUGGAGACUCUAAAUUGCCCGUAGGCAUGACUGUGAGUGCGAAUGGUUGUUUGUUCCUAUGUGCCCUGCGAUUGGCUGGCAACCAGUUGAGGGUGUACCCCGCCUCCUGCCCGAUGACAGCUGGGAUAGGCUCCAGCACGCCCGCGACCCUAGUGAGGAGAAGCGGCUCAGAAAAUGGAUGGAUGGAUGGAUCCAUUGUUUGCUUUUUUCCCACAGUUAUAUCGGAAUUUCGCCCAAUUAGCAUCAUGAAAAUACCACUUUUGAUUCCUAUCUCACUUUUUGCUAAAUUCACAAAAACUUUGAAAAUUAAUGGAUAACGGUCCCUACCUGUAGUUGUUCUCUUAAUUACCACCCACUCAGACAGAACAGCCUGAUACUGUUAAAGGUACAGUACAAGUUUUUUUUCAUCUCUAUCAUUUCUUCCACUACUAUUCCAUUGUCAUAAUAUUUGCUAUCCCAUAAUGUAAUAUAUGCACUAAAAUCAGCACACCAUAUCAUCCUACCUGUCAUGUACAUAACCAUUACAACCAUUAGUCUCCUCCCUGAUGGCGGCAGACUGAAGAGGCUGUGUGAUGGAUGGGUGGCAUCCCCUGCUAUGCGAAGGGCUUUGUGGGAGAGGCGGGUGCUGUAAAUGUCCUGCAGGGAGGGGAGAGAGGUUCCGAUGAUCUUCUCAGCUGCCCUCACUAUGCGAUGGAGAGUCUUGCGCCAGGAUGCGGGGCAGGCACCGUACCGCACAGUGAUGCAGUUGGUCAGGAUGCUCUCUAUGGUCCCUCUGUAGAAUGAGCACAUGAUGGAGGUCGGGGCUCUGGCUCUUCUCAGCUUGCGCAGGAAGUAGAGACGCUGGUGUUGCUGGUCCAGGAGAGGUCCUCGGUGAUGUGCACUGCCAGGAACUUGGUGCUGCGCACUCUGUCAAGGCUGCUGUUUCAGCACCCUGAGUCCAGCGCGUGUGUGUGUGUGUGUGUGUGUGUGUGUCAUGAGUGCUUUGCAGGGUUGACGUGUUGGAGUCUAGGAGUUGCACCUUGCCAUCCUAAUUACACCUGACUGCUCUUAAGACUCUGUGGGACUCCAAGUCGUCGUCAGACUAUCAACGCUCGAUGUCGAUCUGCCGUUUGCCUUUGCUGCCCGCAAACCAGCGUUCACCUCUUGUGGCCCACCGUCAACCCGGACUCGAACCCUACCAGACUGGUUCUCCUUGGAACCCUGCUAAUCCUGGAUCUAGUUCUCGGAGGCCUUUUUGUUUGCUUCCAAGCUGCAAUAAACCUUUAUUCACAAACUCACGUCCCUGUGCUCUCUGCAUCUGGGUCCAACUUGCAACCUGAAUCCUGACAGCAUAGUCCUGCCCGUCAUGGCCCCAUCGGAGACAGAUCCCCUUCGCCAAACAGUUACCUGACAGAGCAUGCUUUUGGACCAACACGGCCAAGCCCCUCACCCUGCUGACGUGACUUCUCACAAGCUCUCACAUCCCUCCAAAAUCAAUUUGCCUCACUCCAACCUUGCGCACAUGUGAGCGCUGUCGUGGGCCACGGCGGAAUGGGAGAAACGCUCAGCCGUCUGUGCAUCAUACUCUUCUUUUUCCCUGGAGAUGAAGAUUCUUGACCACCCGGUGCGCGGGAGGGAGGCCGCUAAACGGCUGAUGUCACUCCUGAAGUCUGCAACAAUCUCCUUGUGUUCAGGGUGUAGCCCGCCUCCUGCCUGAAGAUAGCUGGGAUAGGCUCCAGCAGCCCGCAACCCUAGUGAGGAGAAGCGGUCAGGAAAAUGGAUGGAUACUACCUUCUUUUGUUAACAUUUAUAUUACUUUAUAUUUUAUUUAUCCCUGUAUCCCUAUAAUGCGAUAUUGUAUAACUUGUUUUAUAACAAUCGCACAUCCGCGUCCACUCCUGUCCUCUCGAUCUCUUUUAAUGUUCUUUCACUUCAUUCGCUACACACUUUCACAACAUAAUGAAACGAAACACAUUCUGUCUGUAGUCUGAAGUGGUGUAAAAUGGACAUGUUUGUAAUAUUUUCAUUACAUGAGAUAGGCAAGGAACAUAACAGACAUCAAUCACAAAGACAUACAUAAGGGCUGAAGUUUUUUGGGUUUUUUUUCUCAUGAGAUUUUGCAGGUGUACUCAAAUAGUCCAAACUGCAACAUCUUAAAUUUAACCAGUGGUUAUUGCAUAAUCCUUGUAAUCCAUGCACUAUAUUGCCCUACAAGUCACAUGGGGUCACAUGGGUGAGGGCAGUCAUAUGAUUCAGGCACAUAUGGAGUCUAUCCUGCAGUUGCAUUCCUUGUACUCUCUGAUUAUUGCCGAUACAUUAAGAAUGCUUCAGUUUGCAACAUUCUUCAUGUGUUUGUAUAUUUUAAAUGUGUAAAACCUUUGGGCUCGCCAUGUAAAUGCUGAACAGCAAAAUGUUGGGAGUGGGACUCUUGGACUCUUAUUGAAUUAUUUUUUUUUUUUUUCCAUCGGAAAUAAAGCAUAGCCUUCCCAAGCAAUCUGCAACCAAUUUGCAGAGAAGACCCACCCUUGCAUAUUUAAGACGCCAAGGACAAGAGAGCCAGUGUACUGGAUUGUUUUACUUCUGGAAAAGUACUUCUUUUCCAUACCAAAAUGUACCUUUAACAUAAAACAAGAGAGAGAAAAACAUGAUCUGUGACAAUUUUACCAAAACCACCAAUGAAUCAUUGACUUUCCGUAGCUCUUUAAAAGGCAAAUAACCUGUUUGGUUAACUUAAACGUUAAGCCUUAAAAGGGUUAAGGGUCAACUUAUAUAGGUUGCCAUAUGCCUCAAUCUACUUAGCGACAUGGAGAAGGUGAUUGACCCUACAUACCUUCACUGACUUUGCUCAGAAUGGAAGUAAAAAUGGUCAAAUCCAGCUCUCUGUAUGUGUGUACCCGCUGAAGUCUAUUCGGUGUAAAGUCAAUUUUUUUAUUAUUAGCGAGAGCUAGAGCCCGUUCAGUAUGAGUUCAUCCCUCACCCAUUUGCUUUCAAAGGGGUGAAGAAAUGAUAUUUUCAUUCACGGCAUUGACUUUGCGCUAGAAUGCAGAAUCACAAAAAUACGACAUACAGUAAAAGGCAUUACCUCAAUGUACGCUUUAUGAACAAAAAUACCUCGCCUGAAUCCAUUUUUAUCUAAUAACAUUAUAAAAACCUAAACAAUGUAAAUUAAAUUUACCACACUCACCAGAGGUACUGAUUAUUAAAGAUAUGUGUGCAGAAUGCUGCAGACGUAGUUUGCUAAUCAAACUUGCCUGUACCAAAUGUACACAUCUGCACGUCUCCAGUAAAGUAAGCAUCAAUUAAAUAUCGCCGACCACCGCUAGUUAGGAUCCAUAACAGGUGGUUUGGAUAGAGGGAGGAUGGAAACAGCUGCUGGUACUCUUUCAAUCGCUUUACUGAACGAACGGUAACAAAAUACAGUAAACACAAGCAAAUUCUUGCCGACCUGCGAUGACCUCAACUGACGCUGUCGUUCUGCACACACAGCGGCUAAGGCUAAAGUCAGUAAAUAGUCAUUUGCUGACUUCCACGUCACUCAACAGGCCAGCCCCCCCUAAAAGUACACAUUUAAAGUACACUUUGGAUGUCACAGUAUUUCAUGGAAUGAGGGAAUUGCGAUCCCAAGUGUACAAAGAUAAUACCUGUACCUCACUUGCAUAUAUUGAUUGUUGGUAAUACAGCAUGUGCAUGAAGCUAUGAAAUAUAUAUUCUUGGUGCUACUUCACGAUUUCGGCUAUUGUGGACGUGACCUGGAAGAUAACGCCCUCGAUAAACGAGGGAUUACUGAAGACAAAUCUAACAUCCACAUACACGACUGGAUUCAGAAUGCUACAAAAUGAGGAGAAUAGACUUUUGGGAAUAAAUUAAUAAAACAAAUAUGGAA